RNAcentral lists this microRNA precursor (84 nucleotides) under Bombyx mori (domestic silkworm). RNAcentral's name for it is "mir-2807 microRNA precursor family". It matches the Rfam family "mir-2807 microRNA precursor family". Lineage: Eukaryota; Metazoa; Arthropoda; Insecta; Lepidoptera; Bombycidae. The record is from Rfam by way of RNAcentral.
UUAACUCGAAUUUGUAUGGAGUUGGAACAGCGCCCCUAGCGGCAAACGUAGGCAAACGUUCCAAUUCCAUACAAAUUUGAGUUA